UUUAAUAANAUGGCACACAUCCGUCCUUGUGGGUAGAUAGGAAAGAGACGUGUUACAUGUACAGUUUGUUUGACAAAAUGCCAGCCGGCAAGCAUUCAUUGGGCGUUGGACACAAAUCAAGAUUUAACUAGCAAAUGCAGUAUUGUCAUCUCUUCAUCUCUAAUGCUUUAUGUAAUUUCUAGUUGUACAAACAUCUUUAUUCGAUAGGAAAUAUGCUUCCCCUGCGUUUAUGUGUUUUUAAUCGUUAUAAACAAAAUUAUUUCUGGUUUUAAAACUGUGUCCUGAAGCUGUACGGUAUACAGUUGAUGCUAAAAAAAUUUUUAUCUGCUGCUCUGUUUAUGUAAAC
RNAcentral lists this long non-coding RNA (346 nucleotides) under Olea europaea subsp. europaea. The record is from RNAcentral. Lineage: Eukaryota; Viridiplantae; Streptophyta; Magnoliopsida; Lamiales; Oleaceae.